RNAcentral lists this non-coding RNA (21 nucleotides) under Caenorhabditis elegans. The record is from RNAcentral. Lineage: Eukaryota; Metazoa; Nematoda; Chromadorea; Rhabditida; Rhabditidae.
UGCUAGGUUCGAUUUGUUCUA